RNAcentral lists this transfer RNA (71 nucleotides) under Marmota monax (woodchuck). RNAcentral describes it as "tRNA.Ala". It matches the Rfam family "tRNA". Rfam says of the family: Transfer RNA (tRNA) molecules are approximately 80 nucleotides in length. Their secondary structure includes four short double-helical elements and three loops (D, anti-codon, and T loops). Lineage: Eukaryota; Metazoa; Chordata; Mammalia; Rodentia; Sciuridae. The record is from RNAcentral.
GGGGUUGUGGCUCAGCGGUAGAGCACUCGCCUUGCACGUGAAAGACCCUGGGUUCUAUCCUCAGCACCACA